UUUUUUUUUUUAAUUUCAGAUUUUAAGUUUUGGAUUUAUGGGGCUUUAUUCAUAAAAAAGGGGUGAUUUUCAACACUUCGGACAAUAACUCAAAAAGGCUUUCACCAAUGUCCAUGAAACCUUCGUGAAUUGUUUAUAUCUAUUGACGUAAGCUCCCUUUCGUUUUUUUUUAAUUUCAGAUUUUAAGUUUUGGAUUUAUGGGGCUUUAUUCAUAAAAAAGGGGGGG
This 226-nucleotide long non-coding RNA is filed under the name Mytilus galloprovincialis (Mediterranean mussel). The record is from RNAcentral. Lineage: Eukaryota; Metazoa; Mollusca; Bivalvia; Mytilida; Mytilidae.